This 492-nucleotide ribosomal RNA is filed under the name uncultured bacterium. RNAcentral's name for it is "partial 16S ribosomal RNA". It matches the Rfam family "Bacterial small subunit ribosomal RNA", at positions 29 to 507 of the family's 1533-position model. The record is from RNAcentral.
AGUGAACGCUGGCGGUAGGCCUAACACAUGCAAGUCGAACGGCAGCACAGUAAGAGCUUGCUCUUACGGGUGGCGAGUGGCGGACGGGUGAGGAAUACAUCGGAAUCUACUUUUUCGUGGGGGAUAACGUAGGGAAACUUACGCUAAUACCGCAUACGACCUACGGGUGAAAGCAGGGGAUCUUCGGACCUUGCGCGAUUGAAUGAGCCGAUGUCGGAUUAGCUAGUUGGCGGGGUAAAGGCCCACCAAGGCGACGAUCCGUAGCUGGUCUGAGAGGAUGAUCCGCCACACUGGAACUGAGACACGGUCCAGACUCCUACGGGAGGCAGCAGUGGGGAAUAUUGGACAAUGGGCGCAAGCCUGAUCCAGCCAUACCGCGUGAGUGAAGAAGGCCUUCGGGUUGUAAAGCCCUUUUGUUGGGAAAGAAAAGCAGCAGGUUAAUACCCCGCUGUUCUGACGGUACCCAAAGAAUAAGCACCGGCUAACUUCGUG